GGAUAACCCGGCGAAAGUCGGACUAAUACCGCAUGAAGCAGGGGCCCCGCAUGGGGAUAUUUGCUAAAGAUUCAUCGCUGAUAGAUAGGCAUGCGUUCCAUUAGGCAGUUGGCGGGGUAACGGCCCACCAAACCGACGAUGGAUAGGGGUUCUGAGAGGAAGGUCCCCCACAUUGGUACUGAGACACGGACCAAACUCCUACGGGAGGCAGCAGUGAGGAAUAUUGGUCAAUGGGCGUAAGCCUGAACCAGCCAAGUCGCGUGAGGGAUGAAGGUUCUAUGGAUCGUAAACCUCUUUUAUAAGGGAAUAAAGUGCGGGACGUGUCCCGUUUUGUAUGUACCUUAUGAAUAAGGAUCGGCUAACUCCGUGCCAGCAGCCGCGGUAAUACGGAGGAUCCGAGCGUUAUCCGGAUUUAUUGGGUUUAAAGGGUGCGUAGGCGGCCUUUUAAGUCAGCGGUGAAAGUCUGUGGCUCAACCAUAGAAUUGCCGUUGAAACUGGGGGGCUUGAGUAUGUUUGAGGCAGGCGGAAUGCGUGGUGUAGCGGUGAAAUGCAUAGAUAUCACGCAGAACCCCGAUUGCGAAGGCAGCCUGCCAAGCCAUGACUGACGCUGAUGCACGAAAGCGUGGGGAUCAAACAGGAUUAGAUACCCUGGUAGUCCACGCAGUAAACGAUGAUCACUAGCUGUUUGCGAUACACAGUAAGCGGCACAG
RNAcentral lists this ribosomal RNA (710 nucleotides) under uncultured bacterium. RNAcentral's name for it is "bacterial SSU rRNA". It matches the Rfam family "Bacterial small subunit ribosomal RNA", at positions 141 to 851 of the family's 1533-position model. The record is from RNAcentral.